RNAcentral lists this transfer RNA (62 nucleotides) under Melanotus villosus. Its description in RNAcentral is "tRNA-Cys". Lineage: Eukaryota; Metazoa; Arthropoda; Insecta; Coleoptera; Elateridae. The record is from RNAcentral.
GGUCUUAUAGUCAAAUUAUGAUUUUAAAUUGCAAGUUUAAAGGUGAGUUAGCUCUAAGGCUU